RNAcentral lists this ribosomal RNA (1894 nucleotides) under human gut metagenome. RNAcentral describes it as "bacterial LSU rRNA". It matches the Rfam family "Bacterial large subunit ribosomal RNA", at positions 591 to 2471 of the family's 2925-position model. The record is from RNAcentral.
GUGUGACUGCGUACCUUUUGUAUAAUGGGUCAGCGACUUAUAUUCUGUAGCAAGGUUAACCGAAUAGGGGAGCCGAAGGGAAACCGAGUCUUAACUGGGCGUUAAGUUGCAGGGUAUAGACCCGAAACCCGGUGAUCUAGCCAUGGGCAGGUUGAAGGUUGGGUAACACUAACUGGAGGACCGAACCGACUAAUGUUGAAAAAUUAGCGGAUGACUUGUGGCUGGGGGUGAAAGGCCAAUCAAACCGGGAGAUAGCUGGUUCUCCCCGAAAGCUAUUUAGGUAGCGCCUCGUGAAUUCAUCUCCGGGGGUAGAGCACUGUUUCGGCAAGGGGGUCAUCCCGACUUACCAACCCGAUGCAAACUGCGAAUACCGGAGAAUGUUAUCACGGGAGACACACGGCGGGUGCUAACGUCCGUCGUGAAGAGGGAAACAACCCAGACCGCCAGCUAAGGUCCCAAAGUCAUGGUUAAGUGGGAAACGAUGUGGGAAGGCCCAGACAGCCAGGAUGUUGGCUUAGAAGCAGCCAUCAUUUAAAGAAAGCGUAAUAGCUCACUGGUCGAGUCGGCCUGCGCGGAAGAUGUAACGGGGCUAAACCAUGCACCGAAGCUGCGGCAGCGACACUAUGUGUUGUUGGGUAGGGGAGCGUUCUGUAAGCCUGUGAAGGUGUGCUGUGAGGCAUGCUGGAGGUAUCAGAAGUGCGAAUGCUGACAUAAGUAACGAUAAAGCGGGUGAAAAGCCCGCUCGCCGGAAGACCAAGGGUUCCUGUCCAACGUUAAUCGGGGCAGGGUGAGUCGACCCCUAAGGCGAGGCCGAAAGGCGUAGUCGAUGGGAAACAGGUUAAUAUUCCUGUACUUGGUGUUACUGCGAAGGGGGGACGGAGAAGGCUAUGUUGGCCGGGCGACGGUUGUCCCGGUUUAAGCGUGUAGGCUGGUUUUCCAGGCAAAUCCGGAAAAUCAAGGCUGAGGCGUGAUGACGAGGCACUACGGUGCUGAAGCAACAAAUGCCCUGCUUCCAGGAAAAGCCUCUAAGCAUCAGGUAACAUCAAAUCGUACCCCAAACCGACACAGGUGGUCAGGUAGAGAAUACCAAGGCGCUUGAGAGAACUCGGGUGAAGGAACUAGGCAAAAUGGUGCCGUAACUUCGGGAGAAGGCACGCUGAUAUGUAGGUGAAGUCCCUCGCGGAUGGAGCUGAAAUCAGUCGAAGAUACCAGCUGGCUGCAACUGUUUAUUAAAAACACAGCACUGUGCAAACACGAAAGUGGACGUAUACGGUGUGACGCCUGCCCGGUGCCGGAAGGUUAAUUGAUGGGGUCAGCGAAAGCGAAGCUCUUGAUCGAAGCCCCGGUAAACGGCGGCCGUAACUAUAACGGUCCUAAGGUAGCGAAAUUCCUUGUCGGGUAAGUUCCGACCUGCACGAAUGGCGUAAUGAUGGCCAGGCUGUCUCCACCCGAGACUCAGUGAAAUUGAACUCGCUGUGAAGAUGCAGUGUACCCGCGGCAAGACGGAAAGACCCCGUGAACCUUUACUAUAGCUUGACACUGAACAUUGAGCCUUGAUGUGUAGGAUAGGUGGGAGGCUUUGAAGUGUGGACGCCAGUCUGCAUGGAGCCGACCUUGAAAUACCACCCUUUAAUGUUUGAUGUUCUAACGUUGACCCGUGAUCCGGGUUGCGGACAGUGUCUGGUGGGUAGUUUGACUGGGGCGGUCUCCUCCUAAAGAGUAACGGAGGAGCACGAAGGUUGGCUAAUCCUGGUCGGACAUCAGGAGGUUAGUGCAAUGGCAUAAGCCAGCUUGACUGCGAGCGUGACGGCGCGAGCAGGUGCGAAAGCAGGUCAUAGUGAUCCGGUGGUUCUGAAUGGAAGGGCCAUCGCUCAACGGAUAAAAGGUACUCCGG